GGUAGGAUGGCUGAAGUCUAAGCGGUGGUUUGUAGCUCCAUAUAUGGGGGUUUGAAUCCCCCUCCUGCCA
Molecule: transfer RNA, 70 nt
Filed under: Blenniella gibbifrons (hump-headed blenny)
Lineage: Eukaryota; Metazoa; Chordata; Actinopteri; Blenniiformes; Blenniidae
Description: tRNA-Tyr
Rfam family: tRNA
About the family: Transfer RNA (tRNA) molecules are approximately 80 nucleotides in length. Their secondary structure includes four short double-helical elements and three loops (D, anti-codon, and T loops).
Source: RNAcentral